AAUACUAUAUCACUCGGGGGUAUAGUAGUGUUUAUUAGAUACAGAACCAAUACACCUUUUUUAAAGGGUGUAGAAAAAGGUGAUUCAUAGUAACCGAACGGAUCGCAUUAUAAUCAUUUCKAUGAUUGGCGAUAGAUCAUUCAAGUUUCUGACCUAUCAGCUUUCGACGGUAGUGUAUUGGACUACCGUGGCAGUGACGGGUAACGGGGAAUUAGGGUUCGAUUCCGGAGAGGGAGCCUGAGAAACGGCUACCACAUCUAAGGAAGGCAGCAGGCGCGCAAAUUACCCAAUCCUGACUCAGGGAGGUAGUGACAAGAAAUAACAACACUGGAAAUUCUAUUUCUAGUGAUUGGAAUGAUGGGAAUCCAAACCCCUUUCAGAGUAACAAUUGGAGGGCAAGUCUGGUGCCAGCAGCCGCGGUAAUUCCAGCUCCAAUAGCGUAUAUUAAAGUUGUUGCAGUUAAAAAGCUCGUAGUUGGAUAUCUGCUGGAAGCAAUCAGUCCGCCCUUUUAGUGAGGGUGUGUACUUGAUGAAUUCUGGCAUGAUUAUCUUCCCASURAUAAUAUUAUUAUAUUAGGUURAUUCCUAAUAUGGUAAUAAUUAUUUUUGGGAAGACAGUUACUUUGAGAAAAUUAGAGUGUUUGAAGCAGGCUUGUUGCCUUGAAUACUGCAGCAUGGAAUAACAAUAUAGGAUUUCGGUUCUAUUUUGUUGGUUUCUAGGACUGAAAUAAUGAUUAAUAGGGACAGUUGGGGGCAUUCGUAUUUAACUGUCAGAGGUGAAAU
RNAcentral lists this ribosomal RNA (782 nucleotides) under Sarcocystis fusiformis. RNAcentral describes it as "SSU rRNA". It matches the Rfam family "Eukaryotic small subunit ribosomal RNA", at positions 175 to 928 of the family's 1831-position model. The record is from RNAcentral. Lineage: Eukaryota; Apicomplexa; Conoidasida; Eucoccidiorida; Sarcocystidae.